This 408-nucleotide long non-coding RNA is filed under the name Vigna radiata. RNAcentral's name for it is "long non-coding RNA (VRAD_LNC015721)". The record is from RNAcentral. Lineage: Eukaryota; Viridiplantae; Streptophyta; Magnoliopsida; Fabales; Fabaceae.
GGGGUUGUUGAAAGGUGUGUGAGUGCAGAUGAAUUAAAUUGAAACACAGAUGUAAACAUACGCGAAAAUAGAAAUGUAAAAACGAAAUCAACUACAGAAUAAAAACGGUUGGUCAUUAACUCAAUCACUAUUCUUCCAAUCACAGAUUAACGACAAGUACACACUACUCUAAUCCAAAUCCAACACGAAUCACCCAACUAAGCGAAGGGUAAUUUGGUCUUCAGAAUUGCAGACUAAGCGAAUGCAAUACACAAAUUUAAUCAGUCAUGCACCAUAUAGUCUAAUCAACUAAGCGAAGAUUAAAAACCAAUUAGGCAACUAAGCGUAUACCCAAUCGCAGGCACACAACAGAUUAAAUAUUGAGCUAAAUCAGAGCAGCAGUUUGGCAAUUAAAGUGCAAGAAUCUCA